This 942-nucleotide small RNA is filed under the name uncultured Clitopilus. RNAcentral describes it as "eukaryotic LSU rRNA". The stretch from base 656 to 942 matches the Rfam family "Eukaryotic large subunit ribosomal RNA", at positions 1 to 281 of the family's 3401-position model. Lineage: Eukaryota; Fungi; Basidiomycota; Agaricomycetes; Agaricales; Entolomataceae. The record is from RNAcentral.
CUUGGUCAUUUAGAGGAAGUAAAAGUCGUAACAAGGUUUCCGUAGGUGAACCUGCGGAAGGAUCAUUAUUGAAUAAACUUGGUCAAGCUGUUGCUGGUCCUUCGGGGCAUGUGCACGCUUGCCACCAAAUUUAACCACCUGUGCACCUUUUGUAGACUAGAAACGUUUCUCGAGGCAACUCGGAUUGAGAAUUGCUGCGCGAAAGCCAGCUGUUCUUGUGUUUCUCAGUCUAUGUUUUUACAUACCCCGAAUGAAUGUAUUAGAAUGUAUUGCUGGGCCUUUGUGCCUUUAAAUCAAAUACAACUUUCAACAACGGAUCUCUUGGCUCUCGCAUCGAUGAAGAACGCAGCGAAAUGCGAUAAGUAAUGUGAAUUGCAGAAUUCAGUGAAUCAUCGAAUCUUUGAACGCACCUUGCGCUCCUUGGUAUUCCGAGGAGCAUGCCUGUUUGAGUGUCAUUAAAUUCUCAACUAUACAAGUUUUUAUUAACCUGUAUGGCUUGGAUCAUGGGGUUUGCGGGCUUCCUGAGUCGGCUAUUCUUAAAUGCAUUAGCAGAGCUUUUGCCGCUAAUCUAUGGUGUGAUAAUUAUCUACGCCAUUGAGAAGUGACAUGUUGAGGCUUCGCUUCUAAUCGUCUUCACAGACAACAUUUGACAAUCUGACCUCAAAUCAGGUAGGAUUACCCGCUGAACUUAAGCAUAUCAAUAAGCGGAGGAAAAGAAACUAACAAGGAUUCCCCUAGUAACUGCGAGUGAAGCGGGAAAAGCUCAAAUUUAAAAUCUGGUAGUCUUUGGCUGCCCGAGUUGUAAUCUAGAGAAGCGUUAUCCGCGCUGGACCGUGUAUAAGUCUCCUGGAAUGGAGCGUCAUAGAGGGUGAGAAUCCCGUCUUUGACACGGACUACCAGGGCUUUGUGAUGCGCUCUCAAAGAGUCGAGUUGUUUGGGAAU